GGAUUAGAUACCCUGGUAGUCCACGCCGUAAACGAUGAGUGCUAGAUGUCGCGGGCAUUGACCCCUGCGGUGUCGCAGCUAACGCAUUAAGCACUCCGCCUGGGGAGUACGGCCGCAAGGCUAAAACUCAAAGGAAUUGACGGGGGCCCGCACAAGCGGUGGAGCAUGUGGUUUAAUUCGAUGCAACGCGCAGAACCUUACCUGGGCUAGAAACGGCAGGAAUCUGGGUGAAAACUCGGAGUGCUUUUCGGAGAAUCUGUCGCUAGGUGCUGCAUGGCUGUCGUCAGCUCGUGCCG
RNAcentral lists this ribosomal RNA (296 nucleotides) under uncultured bacterium. RNAcentral's name for it is "partial 16S ribosomal RNA". It matches the Rfam family "Bacterial small subunit ribosomal RNA", at positions 775 to 1067 of the family's 1533-position model. The record is from RNAcentral.